Sarcophilus harrisii (Tasmanian devil) is the source of this 2830-nucleotide long non-coding RNA. Lineage: Eukaryota; Metazoa; Chordata; Mammalia; Dasyuromorphia; Dasyuridae. The record is from Ensembl.
GUGAGUGCUCGCAGGUGUCUGCGCGGGGGAGGCGCCGGACCGCCCGGCCCCCGCCCGCCGGCUCGCUCCUUCUCUCCUCGCGGGCAGCCCCGCCCUGCCCGGGAGCUCGGGCCUGGCCCCGCCCCCUCCCGCGCUCCGCCCCCUCCCGCGCCCCGCCCCCUCCCGCGCUCCGCCCCUCGGGCCGAGCCUCGGCCGCCGCCGCCGCGGGGGAGGAGGAGGGGGAGGAGGGAGGCCGCCCGCCGCCCCCGCCCUCCCUGCGCGCUGCUCGGCGGCGGCCCCAUGUCCCCGGGCCCGAAGCCCCGCGGCGGGCGGCCCCCCCCGCGCGCGGCCGAGGUGGGGCGCCUCGUGUCCCCGCCCCGCGCCGCCGCGCUCCCCCGCGCCCGCCGGGGACAUGGUACGUUCCAGUGGCCCCGCGCUCAGCCCCGCCGGGGGGGCUUCGGCGGCGGCGGGGAGGACGCGGCGGCGGCGGCGGCGGCGGCGGCGCACGAGGGGCUGGGGCUGGGGCUGGGGCCGGCGAGCCGCGGCCGAGGGCGCAGCAGCGAGCCGAGAGCCGCACCCCCGCCGCCCCGGGCCGCGGCCACGGCCACGGCCGGCAGCAGCAGCGGCGGCGGCGGCUUCGCCCCUCGCUGGCACCCGGCGGGCCCCCCGCGGGCUGGCAUGACUCUGUUCGGCAGCGAAGAAGCGUGUCGGAGAUGUGAGUGCCGCGCGGGGGCGGGCGCGGGGGCGCGGGCGGGGGGCGCGAGCCGGGAGCGCGCCCAGCGCGCCCCUCCCCCUCCCCGCCGCCCCACGCGUGAACUCCGCGGGGCCUUUUGUUCGCGGGCGAAGGCCCUGCCCCGGACCGUUGGGGGGCGGCGGUUAGCGGGGCCGGGCCCAUCGGGCUGGGCCGGGCGAGCCGCCCCGCCCCCCUGCUCUGCCGCGGCGUCCCCUCCCCCACCCGCCGCCCCUUCCCCCGGAUCUCCUUGAGGUUCGUCCUCUCCCCGGGAAAACUGAGGCCUGGGUCGGGGAGGAGCCCUGGCGUCCCGGCGGGCGCUGCGGGGGGCCGGGGGGCCUGGCCAGGACCUGCGAGAACCCCAAGCUUUAGUGUCUGGCUCAGUAUGCACUUGGUGAGACUCUCCAGUGGGUUUCAGCACUUGAUUGAGCCUCACGUCUGCUAACAGGACACAGCGAACCACUGAUUUAGACAUGGCCAGAGACCCCAAAGGGAGCCGGGCCCGGCCCGGCCAGAAGCGACAGCACAGCGCUACCCUCUACCACAGUAACUGUGACCUGAACUAUGAGCUGUAUCGGGAAGACUUCCCCUACAGGGUGUAUGAAUAUCAGAGGAUCCCCCCACUUAUCAACCGAGCGCCUGUCAAGAGCAGACGGACUCACAUGGGAACAGGGGGCAAGAGUGGCCUCAACCCCCACAUCCCCCCACGAAGCAACAACCCACCCCCUGUCCGGACAAAGUUAAGAGCUGAGGAGCUGCACUCGAUCAAGGGGGAGCUGAGCCAGAUCAAAGCCCAGGUGGACAGUCUGCUCGAGAGUCUGGAGCGCAUGGAUCAGCGGCGAGACCGGCUGGGAGGGCCCCAAGACAGUGAGAAGAAGGUGGCCUCGGCCGGCGGGGAGUCCUCCAGUGCGGCCACGGAGGCCCAGCGGGAGCCCAGGGGCAAAGAGAGCCCGGAGGCCAGAGCUCGCAGCCGCAGGGAGGCCGACAGUGCUGAAGAGAGCACGGACACGGAGGAGGCGAUGAAAAACCACACAUCGGACCCUGACGGGAGCCAGUAGAAGCACUGGGGCCCUUCCUGGGUCGGCCUCCCAGCCGGUGCCACGUGAGACCUGCCCUCCAGCCUCUCCUCCAGAAGCUGGGCACAAGUCCCUGAGGUGCAGGCCUAGAGAAUGGGCCUGGGGAGGCAGGAAAAUCCAGCAGGUCUAGAAUUUCCCUUUGAAAAAACUCCACCCUCCUUUCCUCUGUGCUGUUUCCCCCACCUCAUGAAAAAGGGGUUCCCUUGGUAGUAAGGCUUGGCAGGACGGGCAUUUGGGGGAAGCAUCUGGGCCAACAAUUCCAAGUUCUUCCCAAAUUGCUCAGUGAUGAUUUUCAGUUCCCCGUCCCCACCGGGUACCCACUCAUUUCUUCUUGAAGAAACAUUCCCAGGGGUAGAAACCCCCCCAUCUCUUGGACAGUCAGUCCAUUUACAACAGUAUUGGCUCUCUUCCUGGCUCCAGCAGACACGACCCAGGUUUUGCUCUCAAUAUUAGCCAUUCGACACAGAAACCCCCAGUGUUCCUUAUGGGGCUCCCCCAGCUUUCUUUCUGCCCAGCCAGUGUUGGGGAGACAUUGGCCGCAUACCCCCUCAUCCCCGCGAUGUGAGGUGAGAUCGAUACCAUUCUGUGCUUUCUCUGGUCCCCGAGAACCCCUACCAAGCCAGGCCAAGGGCAGCCGCCUCAGCUCCUGGUGGCUCAUCAAGGUUCCCCCUUUUCCCAGCACCCCGUGGCUUCAAUGUUUUGCACUAUUAGCCUUCAUGUGACCCCUUCUUCUCCCCCGGCCCCUGCAGAAUUCCAUACCCACAGUGGUGCAUGGGAAAUGAGUUCUGUUUCCGACAGGUGCGUUUCUGCUCCGUAGAAGAUAAGUCAGGUCCUUGGUCGAUGUUGCCCCGGUUAGCCCCGUUACUUCCUUGUCCCCCCUUCCCCCAUGCUGUCCUUUCAGAACAGGUGUAGUUCAUUCUUAUGUCCAGUUUCUAGCUUGUCUUCUUGCUGGUAUGAUACUGUGUAUUUCAAAUCUGCUCUGGAAAAGUGUAUUGUGUUGAAAGGAAAAAAAAUUAAAAGUUUGUAUUUCUUUUCUCUGGUUAAA